Gambusia affinis (western mosquitofish) is the source of this 335-nucleotide long non-coding RNA. RefSeq lists it as uncharacterized. The record is from RefSeq and is a predicted model, not a curated record. The transcript has 3 exons. NCBI's taxonomy places the organism in Eukaryota, Metazoa, Chordata, Actinopteri, Cyprinodontiformes, Poeciliidae.
CUUCAUUAUUCUUCAAUAGGACUUCAAUAAACUGCUUUUUCUGACCUGUCCAGUCACCUCCUGUGGUGAAUAUAGACUGGUGUCAGGGCAUGUGAGCGGAUGGUUGCCAUGGCACCCUGAUUGACAUGUAAGCAGUGACCCCAAAAAACCACAACUUGCUUACAUUGGAGUUGGAGAAGAACUGCAGGGCUUUUGGUAGAUAACAGCCGAGCUUACAGAACAUCACAGACUAAAAUCUCAUUUUCACAGCCACUGCGCGCUGAGUGGAUGGGAGCUAAAGGAGCGAUGCAGCUGAUCUUCUGAAGGACGUUCAUGAGGAAAAUGGCGUCGUACUG